UGAGCCACAGGCUCAUUCGCAACCAUAUAUAUUAUAUGGUACCAAAACACAUUUUGUAAAAGUAUCAGUUAAGAGUCUCAUUACCUUGGUUAAACCCAGAGCAUAAGAAGUGAUUGUUUCUUGAGAGGACAGGCUAUUAUAAUGAACUCUGUAUUGUAAAAGUCUAGAACAAUUGAUGAAGUUUUAUACUUGCAUUGAAUGGAGCUUUUUAUUUUGAAUAGGAUUCUGAACUAAUAUUGGAAUCACAUCAACCAACUUUUGGCAGUUGUUAUAUCUUUCUCAUUUAUGAUAUCCAUCAUCGUCGCCGGCAAACGUACUCUUUUUCAUCACUAGGAAAGGAAAUGGCAUAUACGCUUGUUUGUUGCUUCUAGAUCUUGAAUAGGUUGAAGAUGUGUAGGAAAGUGUAGAAGCAAUUGUUUCCCGUGUUGUAACAUUAAUGGUAAAAACUAAAAAGAAAAGAGUUUCAAGUCAGAAAGAUGAUGAUAGAUAAAAACAUACUAACAAGGAAGAUUAAAGCGUUAUAUCUUAUUUGGACCUGCCACAUUAGUGAAGACUGAAGAGUCCUUAAAUUUAAAGCUCAAUAUGUAUGUCCAUUUGUGUAUGUUAUUUUAGCCGUGAAUCAGGUUAUUCACUCAGGUAAAUGGGCUUUGCACGAUUUGAUCCACCAAUUACCGUGUUUGAUAACGAAAAUUUGCAUAAGUAAAUUUUAGCCGAAAACAAACACGUGACCUCAUUUACUGAGAUUCAUCCAGGUGAAUUGCAACCAAAGGGAGCCUAGUUAAAUUUCCCCGAACCAAAUUGCCCGGUUCCAAAAGUAAAUAUUUUGGUGAAGCCUUCUACCUCUUUUACCAAAGUUUUUAUUAAACACGGGUGAAUUUCUAUUUACCCUGGUUAUAACCCAAAUACUCUAUUAUUAACCGGCUGACCACAUUUGCCGAAAAAUCUACCCAAAAAAUCACCUGUUAUCAAACAAACCCUAAAUACAAUGUCUACGUCACCUAUGAAAUGUUGCGAAGAUUGGAAAAAAUAGUAACACAGCUAAGGAAUCCAGAAAUUUGCACAAGCAUACAUAAGAAAAUUUAUGUUUCUAACAAUUUCAGCCUACAAUAUUGAAAGCUUGUAUUUGAUGGAAUGGUAUGUAAAAUCACCAGUAAAACUAUAAUAAAUUAAUUAACAGAGAAUUAACUUUACAAAGAGCAAGCUAUGUGUGGGGAUUAAAAGUAGAUCAUCAUUAAUGUUGAUCUACUUAGUUUCAAGCCAUACCUACAACCAUAGUUUAAAAUAAAAAUUUCGAUUUCGAGCGAAAUUUCGUUUCUUAAAAUAAAGGCUAAAAUAAAGGCAUAUGCCGAGAUUCUGACACUAGAAAUCACAGUGCAAGCUAAAAUUCGCGAGAUUUCGUAAUACCAAAUUUUCAAAUACUGGCAUAUACCGUAGAAAUUUCGCGAAAUCUGACGAAAUUUUAAACCAUGCCUAGAACAACAUGGGUGAACGUCCAGUAUUCUCACAACAACAACAAAAACAAAUUCAUGUCUGCCAUAUGGAAAAUUAUUUAACAAAACACACUUAUUAAAUUCAACAAAGAAUGACAUUAAAUCAAAUAAUCAAUCAUACUUGUAAUUCUAAACAUAUUCUGCAUAUAUAUAUAUAUAUAAAAACUAAAUUUUACUUGAUUAGAAAUACCUUCAUUAAGCGAGGCCAGAGCAUACGCCGUAAUCGUGUCUUGAGAGAACAGAUCAUUGUAACAAAAUUAAACAUGAAAACCUCUGUUAUACCAGCUGGGAAGAUGAGCAAAACAUCAACAAGUUUAGAAGAUUGAACAAUCUAUUUCAUGAAAUCAGAGUAGCUAAGGAAACAAAUGAGAAUGUGGAGGACCCAAGCAAUGAGUUGAUCCUUUACGGACGAGGGGAUGGUUAAAUUGCAGACAUUGCAUGGAGGUUUUGUAAGACAAAUUCAUGCAAUGAUUCAAUAUACUUGGAGAAUUCUCAGUAUGUAUCCUGUGGUUGUCAAACUUGUUGACAUUCUUGCUGGGAUAAAAAAAAAAGUUAGUUGAUUAUAUAU
This 2058-nucleotide long non-coding RNA is filed under the name Aquilegia coerulea. RNAcentral describes it as "long non-coding RNA (ACOE_LNC001880)". The record is from RNAcentral. Lineage: Eukaryota; Viridiplantae; Streptophyta; Magnoliopsida; Ranunculales; Ranunculaceae.